AGGAUAAACGCUGGCGGCGUGCCUAACACAUGCAAGUCGAACGUCUCUUCUUUCGGGAAGAGGAGUGGCGGACGGGUGAGUAACGCGUGAGAAUCUGCCCUUAGGUCGGGGACAACCAUUGGAAACGAUGGCUAAUACCGGAUAAGCCGAGAGGUAAAAGAUUAAUUGCCUAGGGAAGAGCUCGCGUCUGAUUAGCUAGUUGGUGAGGUAAAGGCUCACCAAGGCAUCGAUCAGUAGCUGGUCUGAGAGGAUGAUCAGCCACACUGGGACUGAGACACGGCCCAGACUCCUACGGGAGGCAGCAGUGGGAAUUUUCCGCAAUGGGCGAAAGCCUGACGGAGCAAGACCGCGUGAGGGAGGAAGGCUCUUGGGUUGUAAACCCUUUUCUCUGGGAAGAACGUUGUGAAAGCAGCCUGACGGUACCAGAGGAAUCAGCAUCGGCUAACUCCGUGCCAGCAGCCGCGGUAA
Molecule: ribosomal RNA, 468 nt
Filed under: uncultured bacterium
Lineage: Bacteria
Description: SSU rRNA
Rfam family: Bacterial small subunit ribosomal RNA
Source: RNAcentral